Molecule: ribosomal RNA, 497 nt
Filed under: uncultured bacterium
Lineage: Bacteria
Description: partial 16S ribosomal RNA
Rfam family: Bacterial small subunit ribosomal RNA
Source: RNAcentral
GAUGAACGCUGGCGGCGUGCCUAAUACAUGCAAGUCGAGCGAACGGACGAGAAGCUUGCUUUUCUGAUGUUAGCGGCGGACGGGUGAGUAACACGUGGAUAACCUACCUAUAAGACUGGGAUAACUUCGGGAAACCGGAGCUAAUACCGGAUAAUAUUUUGAACCGCAUGGUUCAAAAGUGAAAGACGGUCUUGCUGUCACUUAUAGAUGGAUCCGCGCUGCAUUAGCUAGUUGGUAAGGUAACGGCUUACCAAGGCAACGAUGCUUAGCCGACCUGAGAGGGUGAUCGGCCACACUGGAACUGAGACACGGUCCAGACUCCUACGGGAGGCAGCAGUAGGGAAUCUUCCGCAAUGGGCGAAAGCCUGACGGAGCCACGCCGCGUGAGUGAUGAAGGUCUUCGGGUCGUAAAGCUCUGUUAUUAGGGAAGAACAUAUGUGUAAGUAACUGUGCACAUCUUGACGGUACCUAAUCAGAAAGCCACGGCUAACUACGUG